AAUGAACGCUGGCGGCAGGCCUAACACAUGCAAGUCGAACGAUAACGACCAAUAGUUUGCUUUGUCAAUCACGUGUGGCGCUUGGGUGUGACACGUCUGGAAACUUGCCAGCAGGAGGGGAUUAACUCCUGGAACGGAUGGUUAAACCACAAAAAUCUUCCAAGAACAUAGAUUGAGAACUUAAAGACUCUCGCACUUCUGCGUGUGUAUAGGCGCGUGGUGGAUUAGCUAGUUGACGAGUUAACGGCGCACCAAGGCCUAGAUCCAUAGCCGAACUGACAGGGUGACCGGCCACACUGGAACUGAGACACGGCCCAAACUCCUACGGGAGGCAGCAGUAGGGAAUAUUCCGCAAUGGACGCAAGGCUGAUGGAGCCAUGCCGCGUGAAUGAAGAAGGCCUUCGGGUUGUAAAAUUCUGUCGGCAGGGAAGAAGGAAUGAUAGUGUAUAUGUUAGCGCAUUAACGUUACCCAAAGAAAAAGCACCGGCUAACUCCGUG
Molecule: ribosomal RNA, 498 nt
Filed under: uncultured bacterium
Lineage: Bacteria
Description: partial 16S ribosomal RNA
Rfam family: Bacterial small subunit ribosomal RNA
Source: RNAcentral